UACGGAGGGUGCGAGCGUUGUCCGGAAUCACUGGGCGUAAAGGGCGCGUAGGCGGCACGGAUAGUCGGCGGUGAAAGCCCGGAGCUCAACUCCGGGUCGGCCGUCGAUACUUCCGGGCUUGAGCACUGUAGAGGCAGAUGGAAUUCCGGGUGUAGCGGUGGAAUGCGUAGAGAUCCGGAAGAACACCGGUGGCGAAGGCGGUCUGCUGGGCAGUUGCUGACGCUGAUGCGCGACAGCGUGGGGAGCAAACAGG
This 253-nucleotide ribosomal RNA is filed under the name uncultured bacterium. RNAcentral describes it as "partial 16S ribosomal RNA". It matches the Rfam family "Bacterial small subunit ribosomal RNA", at positions 524 to 776 of the family's 1533-position model. The record is from RNAcentral.